Molecule: ribosomal RNA, 137 nt
Filed under: uncultured bacterium
Lineage: Bacteria
Description: partial 16S ribosomal RNA
Rfam family: Bacterial small subunit ribosomal RNA
Source: RNAcentral
UGGGGAAUAUUGCACAAUGGGGGAAACCCUGAUGCAGCGACGCCGCGUGAGCGAUGAAGUAUUUCGGUAUGUAAAGCUCUAUCAGCAGGGAAGAAGAUGACGGUACCUGACCAAGAAGCCCCGGCUAACUACGUGCC